Molecule: non-coding RNA, 525 nt
Organism: Triticum urartu
Lineage: Eukaryota; Viridiplantae; Streptophyta; Magnoliopsida; Poales; Poaceae
Source: RefSeq, a predicted model, not a curated record
CUGCCGGGCUCACUGUCCUCAUUGCAGCUGACCGCAAUGCGGGACAGCGGGAUCUGCUCCGGGCGGUCCAGGGCAAGCCGGUGCCGCUCGUGUGGCCGAACGGCGGCCGUAGCGGCACGGCCGGGGAGAGUUGCGUCGACCAGGUCUUGUAAUGGUGGUCAACUGGUCUGAGCCAACCCCUCCUCCCACUUCCUCAUCCCGAGGUUCUUUGAUGUCAUUCUUCAGGGUUCACCCGCCUCCUGCGUUCAGCUCAUCGUCCAAUCUAGAGGAAUUGGCGCUAGAAAUGAACGAGUCUGAUGCAGGAAAGUUUUAUCUACACCUUACGCAGAUCUUGAGCUCGAUGGCUUGCCACCAUCACACCAUGAUCGGAAUGGUUGAGUUUGGAAUGUUUCAAAGUCUUCCUUUUACUGCUUCUUAAUAGUUAUGUUAAAUUGUGCUAUGUUUCUAUGAAAUACCCCUUCAGAUAGUAUGAUUAGCUUACUCUUCUAGGUUUUAGUGAUUCUGGCUUUUCUCAUUAUGGUGACU